GGUCCCUUGUGCGAAGAAAAUGGGGGAUCUGACCUGCCCGGUGACCUGAUUUGGAGUUAAACGGCCGCGGUAUAUUAACUGUGCAAAGGUAGCGUAAUCAUUUGCCUAUUAAUUGUGGGCUAGUAUGAAUGGUUUGACGAGGAUUUAGCUGUCUUUUUAAAAAAUAUUAAGAAAUUAUUUUUCAAGUGAAAAUUCUUGAAUGAAACUGAGGGACGAUAAGACCCUGUCGAGCUUUAGUGUGGCUUAAGCGCCUAGUGUAUGAAAUUUUCUAUUGAGAUGUUUAAGUGAAUCUUUGAUUGGGGCGAUUUAGAAGUAAAAAAAACCUUUUGUAUAAAAUUUAUGACUAAUAAGUAUAGGAUCUAGUGUAAAAAAAUAUGGAAAAAAGAAAAAGUUACCGCAGGGAUAACAGCGUUAUCUUUUUGGAGAGUUCUUAUUGAAAAAAGGGUUUGCGACCUCGAUGUUGAAUUAGGAUAUCCUAAAGGUGUAGCAGCUUUUAAGGGUUGGUCUGUUCGACCAUUAAAAUCUUACA
This 529-nucleotide ribosomal RNA is filed under the name Emarginula sicula. Its description in RNAcentral is "partial 16S ribosomal RNA". It matches the Rfam family "Bacterial large subunit ribosomal RNA", at positions 1816 to 2600 of the family's 2925-position model. The record is from RNAcentral. Lineage: Eukaryota; Metazoa; Mollusca; Gastropoda; Lepetellida; Fissurellidae.